GACGAACGCUGGCGGCGUGCUUAACACAUGCAAGUCGAACGGAAAGGCCCUGCUUUUGUGGGGUGCUCGAGUGGCGAACGGGUGAGUAACACGUGAGUAACCUGUCCUUGACUUUGGGAUAUCUUCAGGAAACUGGGGCUAAUACCGGAUAGGAGCUCCUGCUGCAUGGUGGGGGUUGGAAAGUUUCGGCGGUUGGGGAUGGACUCGCGGCUUAUCCGCUUGUUGGUGGGGUAGUGGCUUACCAAGGCUUUGAAGGGUAGCCGGCCUGCGAGGGGGACCGGCCACAUUGGGACUGAGAUACGGCCCAGACUCGUACGGGACGCAACAGUGGAGAAUAUUGCACAAUAGGCGGAAGCCAGAUGCGACAACGCCACGUGCGGGAUGACGGCCUUCGGGUUGUAAACCGAUUUCGCCUGAGACGAAGCGUGAGUGACGGUAAUGGGUAAAGAAGCACCGGCUAACUACGUG
RNAcentral lists this ribosomal RNA (468 nucleotides) under uncultured bacterium. RNAcentral's name for it is "partial 16S ribosomal RNA". It matches the Rfam family "Bacterial small subunit ribosomal RNA", at positions 28 to 507 of the family's 1533-position model. The record is from RNAcentral.